RNAcentral lists this ribosomal RNA (253 nucleotides) under uncultured bacterium. RNAcentral's name for it is "partial 16S ribosomal RNA". It matches the Rfam family "Bacterial small subunit ribosomal RNA", at positions 524 to 776 of the family's 1533-position model. The record is from RNAcentral.
UACGUAGGGUGCAAGCGUUGUCCGGAAUUAUUGGGCGUAAAGAGCUCGUAGGCGGUCUGUUGCGUCCGCUGUGAAAACUCGGGGCUUAACCCCGAGCCUGCAGUGGAUACGGGCAGACUAGAGGUAGGUAGGGGAGAAUGGAAUUCCCGGUGUAGCGGUGAAAUGCGCAGAUAUCGGGAGGAACACCGGUGGCGAAGGCGGUUCUCUGGGCCGGUACUGACGCUCAGGUUCGAAAGCGUGGGGAGCAAACAGG